UGGGGAAUAUUGCACAAUGGGGGAAACCCUGAUGCAGCGACGCCGCGUGAACGAAGAAGGUAUUCGUAUCGUAAAGUUCUGUCCUAUGGGAAGAUAAUGACAGUACCAUAGAAGAAAGCUCCGGCUAAAUACGUGCCAGCAGCCGCGGUAAUACGUAUGGAGCGAGCGUUGUCCGGAAUUAUUGGGCGUAAAGGGUACGCAGGCGGUUUAAUAAGUCGAAUGUUAAAGAUCGGGGCUCAACCCCGUAAAGCAUUGGAAACUGAUAAACUUGAGGAGUGGAGAGGAAAGUGGAAUUCCUAGUGUAGUGGUGAAAUACGUAGAUAUUAGUAGGAAUACCAGUAGCGAAGGCGACUUUCUGGACACAAACUGACGCUGAAGUACGAAAGCGUGGGGAGAAAACAGG
This 403-nucleotide ribosomal RNA is filed under the name bacterium. Its description in RNAcentral is "partial 16S ribosomal RNA". It matches the Rfam family "Bacterial small subunit ribosomal RNA", at positions 355 to 776 of the family's 1533-position model. The record is from RNAcentral.